This 394-nucleotide unclassified non-coding RNA is filed under the name soil metagenome. RNAcentral describes it as "partial contains 5.8S ribosomal RNA, internal transcribed spacer 2, and large subunit ribosomal RNA". The stretch from base 1 to 121 matches the Rfam family "5.8S ribosomal RNA", at positions 35 to 154 of the family's 154-position model. The record is from RNAcentral.
GAUGAAGAACGCAGCGAACGUGCGAAACGUAAUGUGAAUUGCAGAAUUCAGUGAAUCAUCGAAUCUUUGAACGCAUCUUGCGCUCCUUGGUAUUCCGAGGAGCAUGCCUGUUUGAGUGUCGUGAAUACUCUCAACUUCAACCCUUUUUUCGGAAAGGGAGGAAGGUUGGACUUGGGUGUUUGUUGAAGUGCGAGCUUCGACUCAUCCUAAAUGCAUUAGCGAUCUGCCUCGAUCACACACAAUGUGAUAAUUAAAACUAAAGCAUUGUUUAAUGAUCAAGUCGAGACUGCUUCUAACUGUCGCAAGACAAUAACGUGCAUACAUUUGUGCAUGUCAUUUGACCUCAAAUCAGGUAGGACUACCCGCUGAACUUAAGCAUAUCAAUAGCGGAGGA